This 841-nucleotide ribosomal RNA is filed under the name Pyrenophora nobleae. Its description in RNAcentral is "LSU rRNA". It matches the Rfam family "Eukaryotic large subunit ribosomal RNA", at positions 108 to 968 of the family's 3401-position model. The record is from RNAcentral. Lineage: Eukaryota; Fungi; Ascomycota; Dothideomycetes; Pleosporales; Pleosporaceae.
CUCAAUUUGAAAUCUGGCUCUUUUAGAGUCCGAGUUGUAAUUUGCAGAGGGCGCUUUGGCUUUGGCAGCGGUCCAAGUUCCUUGGAACAGGACGUCACAGAGGGUGAGAAUCCCGUACGUGGUCGCUAGCUAUUGCCGUGUAAAGCCCCUUCGACGAGUCGAGUUGUUUGGGAAUGCAGCUCUAAAUGGGAGGUAAAUUUCUUCUAAAGCUAAAUAUUGGCCAGAGACCGAUAGCGCACAAGUAGAGUGAUCGAAAGAUGAAAAGCACUUUGGAAAGAGAGUCAAACAGCACGUGAAAUUGUUGAAAGGGAAGCGCUUGCAGCCAGACUUGCUUGCAGUUGCUCAUCCGGGCUUUUGCCCGGUGCACUCUUCUGCAGGCAGGCCAGCAUCAGUUUGGGCGGUGGGAUAAAGGUCUCUGUCACGUACCUCCUUUCGGGGAGGCCUUAUAGGGGAGGCGACAUACCACCAGCCUGGACUGAGGUCCGCGCAUUCGCUAGGAUGCUGGCGUAAUGGCUGUAAGCGGCCCGUCUUGAAACACGGACCAAGGAGUCUAACAUCUAUGCGAGUGUUUGGGUGUCAAGCCCGAACGCGUAAUGAAAGUGAACGGAGGUGGGAACCCGCAAGGGUGCACCAUCGACCGAUCCUGAUGUCUUCGGAAGGAUUUGAGUAAGAGCAUGGCUGUUGGGACCCGAAAGAUGGUGAACUAUGCUUGAAUAGGGUGAAGCCAGAGGAAACUCUGGUGGAGGCUCGCAGCGGUUCUGACGUGCAAAUCGAUCGUCAAAUUUGGGCAUAGGGGCGAAAGACUAAUCGAACUAUCUAGUAGCUGGUUCCUGCCGAAGUU